RNAcentral lists this ribosomal RNA (1246 nucleotides) under 'Ziziphus jujuba' witches'-broom phytoplasma. RNAcentral's name for it is "bacterial SSU rRNA". It matches the Rfam family "Bacterial small subunit ribosomal RNA", at positions 153 to 1399 of the family's 1533-position model. The record is from RNAcentral. Lineage: Bacteria; Bacillati; Mycoplasmatota; Mollicutes; Acholeplasmatales; Acholeplasmataceae.
GAAACUACUGCUAAGACUGGAUAGGAGACAAGAAGGCAUCUUCUUGUUUUUAAAAGACCUAGUAAUAGGUAUGCUUAGGGAGGAGCUUGCGUCACAUUAGUUAGUUGGUGGGGUAAAGGCCUACCAAGACUAUGAUGUGUAGCCGGGCUGAGAGGUUGAACGGCCACAUUGGGACUGAGACACGGCCCAAACUCCUACGGGAGGCAGCAGUAGGGAAUUUUCGGCAAUGGAGGAAACUCUGACCGAGCAACGCCGCGUGAACGAUGAAGUAUUUCGGUACGUAAAGUUCUUUUAUUAGGGAAGAAUAAAUGAUGGAAAAAUCAUUCUGACGGUACCUAAUGAAUAAGCCCCGGCUAACUGUGUGCCAGCAGCCGCGGUAAUACAUAGGGGGCAAGCGUUAUCCGGAAUUAUUGGGCGUAAAGGGUGCGUAGGCGGUUAAAUAAGUUUAUGGUCUAAGUGCAAUGCUCAACAUUGUGAUGCUAUAAAAACUGUUUAGCUAGAGUAAGAUAGAGGCAAGUGGAAUUCCAUGUGUAGUGGUAAAAUGCGUAAAUAUAUGGAGGAACACCAGUAGCGAAGGCGGCUUGCUGGGUCUUUACUGACGCUGAGGCACGAAAGCGUGGGGAGCAAACAGGAUUAGAUACCCUGGUAGUCCACGCCGUAAACGAUGAGUACUAAACGUUGGGUAAAACCAGUGUUGAAGUUAACACAUUAAGUACUCCGCCUGAGUAGUACGUACGCAAGUAUGAAACUUAAAGGAAUUGACGGGACUCCGCACAAGCGGUGGAUCAUGUUGUUUAAUUCGAAGGUACCCGAAAAACCUCACCAGGUCUUGACAUGCUUCUGCAAAGCUGUAGAAACACAGUGGAGGUUAUCAGUUGCACAGGUGGUGCAUGGUUGUCGUCAGCUCGUGUCGUGAGAUGUUGGGUUAAGUCCCGCAACGAGCGCAACCCUUAUUGUUAGUUACCAGCACGUAAUGGUGGGGACUUUAGCAAGACUGCCAGUGAUAAAUUGGAGGAAGGUGGGGACGACGUCAAAUCAUCAUGCCCCUUAUGACCUGGGCUACAAACGUGAUACAAUGGCUGUUACAAAGGGUAGCUGAAGCGCAAGUUUUUGGCGAAUCUCAAAAAAACAGUCUCAGUUCGGAUUGAAGUCUGCAACUCGACUUCAUGAAGUUGGAAUCGCUAGUAAUCGCGAAUCAGCAUGUCGCGGUGAAUACGUUCUCGGGGUUUGUACACACCGCCCGUCA